Lucilia sericata (common green bottle fly) is the source of this 672-nucleotide long non-coding RNA. RefSeq lists it as uncharacterized. The transcript has 2 exons. Lineage: Eukaryota; Metazoa; Arthropoda; Insecta; Diptera; Calliphoridae. The record is from RefSeq and is a predicted model, not a curated record.
AUUCUGAAAUUACAAAUCUCUUAACACCGCUGAAAGUGAAACAAGUAUUUGACGCCAAUAUAGUAAGCCUACUACCGCAACGUGAUCAGGAAGGUAGACGUAUUAUAGCAACACCGCUGCUGGCGAUCGCUGGAAUCCGAAACUUAUAUCCUUGGAUGUCAUCUAUGCCGCCAGUACUUUAUGCACAGAACUCAUACAACUUGAACCGGAAACUCAAAUAAAUGGUGUUGUCUAUAUAGCAGAUAUGAAGGGUUUAGGCAUAAGUCAAGCUUACAAUAUACACCCAGUAGAGCACUGCGUACUCUUAACUAUAUACAAAAUAAUAUACCCUUAAGAGUUAAGGCAAUACAUUUUGUUAAUGCGCCAAAAAUCUUUGAACCCAUAUUUGGCGGUGUUAAAUAUUCUUUAACGAAAAAUUUGCCAAACGUAUACUAAUACAUAGUAAAGGGUUUGAUUCUCUACAUCGUUAUAUAUCACCGAAUAUUUGCCGGAAUGUUAUGGCGGUACCUUAAAAAUGGAUUUGUUAUAUGGUCCCGAAACAUAUAAGCUGCUGUUACCAUAUCAGGAAUAUUUUGAAAAUUUUGAUAAAUAUGGUUUUAAAAAGUACUAAAUUUUGACAUUUUGACCGUGUCAAAAGUGUAAUAAAUUUCAUUUUAUUUUGGUAAAUAGUGA